RNAcentral lists this ribosomal RNA (1434 nucleotides) under metagenome. RNAcentral's name for it is "bacterial LSU rRNA". It matches the Rfam family "Bacterial large subunit ribosomal RNA", at positions 1348 to 2910 of the family's 2925-position model. The record is from RNAcentral.
CGGGUUCCUGCGUAAAGCUAAUCUGCGCAGGGUCAGCCGGCCCCUAAGAUAAGGCCGAAAGGCGUAGUCGAUGGGAAUCAGGUGAAUAUUCCUGAGCCAGUGGGUGGUGACGAAUUCCGUAUGUUGUUGGAUCUUAUUGGAUUGAUCCGGCAUCGAAGGGGUUCCAGGAAAUAGCCCCCACAUCAGACCGUACCCUAAACCGACACAGGUGGACUGGUAGAGCAUACUAAGGCGAUUGAGUUAAAGAUGCUGAAGGAACUCGGCAAAUUGCCUCCGUAACUUCGGAAGAAGGAGGCCCGAUUGGUGGGCAACCAUCAGUCGGGGGCACAGACCAGGGGGUAGCGACUGUUUAUCAAAAACACAGGGCUCUGCGAAGUCCAAAGACGACGUAUAGGGUCUGACGCCUGCCCGGUGCCGGAAGGUUAAGAGGAGGGGUGCAAGCUCUGAAUCGAAGCCCCGGUAAACGGCGGCCGUAACAAUAACGGUCCUAAGGUAGCGAAAUUCCUUGUCGGGUAAGUUCCGACCUGCACGAGGGCGUAACGACUUCCCCGCUGUCUCCAGCAUCUGCUCAGUGAAAUUGAAUUCCCCGUGAAGAUGCGGGGUUCCUGCGGUUAGACGGAAAGACCCCAUGAACCUUUACUAUAACUUUGCACUGGCAUUCGUGAAAGUAUGUGUAGGAUAGGUGGCAGGCUUUGAAGCUUGGGCGCCAGCUCAGGUGGAGCCAACCUUGAAAUACCACCCUUAAUUUCAUGAAUGUCUAACCGCGGCCCGUUAUCCGGGCUCGAGACAGUGCAUGGUGGGUAGUUUGACUGGGGCGGUCGCCUCCCAAAGCAUAACGGAGGCGCGCGAUGGUGGGCUCAGAGCGGUCGGAAAUCGCUCGUCGAGUGCAAUGGCAUAAGCCCGCCUGACUGCGAGACUGACAAGUCGAGCAGAGUCGAAAGACGGUCAUAGUGAUCCGGUGGUCCCACGUGGACGGGCCAUCGCUCAACGGAUAAAAGGUACUCUGGGGAUAACAGGCUGAUGAUGCCCAAGCGUCCAUAGCGACGGCAUCGUUUGGCACCUCGAUGUCGACUCAUCACAUCCUGGGGCUGGAGCAGGUCCCAAGGGUUCGGCUGUUCGCCGAUUAAAGUGGUACGUGAGUUGGGUUCAGAACGUCGUGAGACAGUUCGGUCCCUAUCUGCCGUGGGUGUAGGAGAAUUGAGAGGAUCUGUCCCUAGUACGAGAGGACCGGGAUGGACGUACCUCUGGUGGACCUGUUGUGGCGCCAGCCGCAUUGCAGGGUAGCUAAGUACGGACGGGAUAACCGCUGAAGGCAUCUAAGUGGGAAACCCACCUCAAAACUAUUUCUCCCUGAAGAGUCGUGGUAGACCACCACGUUGAUAGGCCGGGUGUGGAAGUGCAGCAAUGCAUGGAGCUUACCGGUACUAAUAGCCC